This 254-nucleotide ribosomal RNA is filed under the name uncultured bacterium. RNAcentral's name for it is "partial 16S ribosomal RNA". It matches the Rfam family "Bacterial small subunit ribosomal RNA", at positions 524 to 776 of the family's 1533-position model. The record is from RNAcentral.
UACAGAGGUGGCAAGCGUUGUUCGGAAUUACUGGGCGUAAAGGGCGCGUAGGCGGUCUUGUAAGUCUUGUGUGAAAUCCCUCGGCUUAACUGAGGAACUGCACGGGAUACUGCGAGACUUGAGUUCGGGAGAGGGAAGCGGAAUUCCGGGUGUAGCGGUGAAAUGCGUAGAUAUCGGGAGGAACACCAGUGGCGAAGGCGACUACCUGGCCUGUUUCUUGACGCUGAGGCGCGAAAGCGUGGGGAGCAAACAGG